UACGGAGGGUGCAAACGUUGCUCGGAAUCAUUGGGCGUAAAGCGCACGUAGGCGGCUUGCCAAGUCGGACGUGAAAUCCCUCAGCUCAACUGAGGACGUGCAUCCGAAACUGGCGAGCUUGAGUGCUGAAGAGGAUCGCGGAAUUCCCGGUGUAGAGGUGAAAUUCGUAGAUAUCGGGAGGAACACCAGUGGCGAAGGCGGCGAUCUGGGCAGACACUGACGCUGAGGUGCGAAAGCGUGGGGAGCAAACAGG
This 253-nucleotide ribosomal RNA is filed under the name uncultured bacterium. Its description in RNAcentral is "partial 16S ribosomal RNA". It matches the Rfam family "Bacterial small subunit ribosomal RNA", at positions 524 to 776 of the family's 1533-position model. The record is from RNAcentral.